UACGAAGGGGGCUAGCGUUGUUCGGAUUUACUGGGCGUAAAGCGCACGUAGGCGGGUCGUUAAGUCGGGGGUGAAAUCCUGGAGCUCAACUCCAGAACUGCCUUCGAUACUGGCGACCUAGAGUCCGGAAAGAGGUGAGUGGAACUCCUAGUGUAGAGGUGGAAUUCGUAGAUAUUAGGAAAGAACACCAGUGGCGAAGGCGGCUCACUGUCCGGUACUGACGCUGAG
RNAcentral lists this ribosomal RNA (228 nucleotides) under uncultured bacterium. Its description in RNAcentral is "partial 16S ribosomal RNA". It matches the Rfam family "Bacterial small subunit ribosomal RNA", at positions 524 to 750 of the family's 1533-position model. The record is from RNAcentral.